This 408-nucleotide unclassified non-coding RNA is filed under the name uncultured fungus. RNAcentral's name for it is "partial contains 5.8S ribosomal RNA and internal transcribed spacer 2". The stretch from base 1 to 133 matches the Rfam family "5.8S ribosomal RNA", at positions 22 to 154 of the family's 154-position model. The record is from RNAcentral. Lineage: Eukaryota; Fungi.
UGGCUCUCGCAUCGAUGAAGAACGCAGCGAAAUGCGAUAAGUAAUGUGAAUUGCAGAAUUCAGUGAAUCAUCGAAUCUUUGAACGCACCUUGCACUCCUUGGUAUUCCGAGGAGCAUGCCUGUUUGAGUGUCAUGAAAUUUUAACUCAACCUUUCAAGCUUUUUGUUAUUCAAAAGUUAGUUAGGCUUGGAUUGUGGGAGUUAUGCCGGUUCAAAAAAAUUGGCUCUCCUUAAAUUGAUUAGCAAGAUUUAAUUGCUUGAAUCACCAUUGAUAAUGAUAAUUAUCUGUAUCAUUGAUGAAGCAAUGUUUUUCCUUGUAGGAAAAAAAAUCUAGCUUACAAACCGAAUUGUCUUUAUAGAUAAUUCAUUUGAACUAUUUGACCUCAAAUCAGGCAGGACUACCCGCUGA